Molecule: ribosomal RNA, 230 nt
Filed under: Strombidinopsis acuminata
Lineage: Eukaryota; Ciliophora; Spirotrichea; Choreotrichida; Strombidinopsidae
Description: partial Bacterial large subunit ribosomal RNA
Rfam family: Bacterial large subunit ribosomal RNA
Source: RNAcentral
AGUACGAGAGGACCGGGGUGGACGAACCUCUAGUGUACCUGUUGUGACGCCAGUUGCAUCGCAGGGUAGCUACGUUCGGAUGAGAUAAGCGCUGAAAGCAUCUAAGCACGAAACUCACCUCAAGAUGAGAUUUCUUUUAAGGGUCGUGGAAGACGACCACGUUGAUAGGCCAGGUGUGUAAGUGCAGCAAUGUAUUGAGCUUACUGGUACUAAUCGUUCGAUUGGCUUGA